This 721-nucleotide ribosomal RNA is filed under the name Bacteroides caccae. Its description in RNAcentral is "bacterial SSU rRNA". It matches the Rfam family "Bacterial small subunit ribosomal RNA", at positions 1 to 705 of the family's 1533-position model. Lineage: Bacteria; Pseudomonadati; Bacteroidota; Bacteroidia; Bacteroidales; Bacteroidaceae. The record is from RNAcentral.
UUAUUGGAGAGUUUGAUCCUGGCUCAGGACGAACGCUGGCGGCGUGCCUAAUACAUGCAAGUCGAGCGAAUCUGAGGGAGCUUGCUCCCAAAGAUUAGCGGCGGACGGGUGAGUAACACGUGGGCAACCUGCCUGUAAGACUGGGAUAACUUCGGGAAACCGGAGCUAAUACCGGAUAAUCCCUUUCCUCACAUGAGGAAAGGCUGAAAGACGGUUUCGGCUGUCACUUACAGAUGGGCCCGCGGCGCAUUAGCUAGUUGGUGAGGUAACGGCUCACCAAGGCCACGAUGCGUAGCCGACCUGAGAGGGUGAUCGGCCACACUGGGACUGAGACACGGCCCAGACUCCUACGGGAGGCAGCAGUAGGGAAUCUUCCGCAAUGGACGAAAGUCUGACGGAGCAACGCCGCGUGAGUGAUGAAGGUUUUCGGAUCGUAAAACUCUGUUGUUAGGGAAGAACAAGUAUCGGAGUAACUGCCGGUACCUUGACGGUACCUAACCAGAAAGCCACGGCUAACUACGUGCCAGCAGCCGCGGUAAUACGUAGGUGGCAAGCGUUAUCCGGAAUUAUUGGGCGUAAAGCGCGCGCAGGUGGUUCCUUAAGUCUGAUGUGAAAGCCCACGGCUCAACCGUGGAGGGUCAUUGGAAACUGGGGAACUUGAGUGCAGAAGAGGAAAGUGGAAUUCCAAGUGUAGCGGUGAAAUGCGUAGAGAUUUGGAGGA